This 569-nucleotide ribosomal RNA is filed under the name uncultured bacterium. Its description in RNAcentral is "partial 16S ribosomal RNA". It matches the Rfam family "Bacterial small subunit ribosomal RNA", at positions 355 to 914 of the family's 1533-position model. The record is from RNAcentral.
UGGGGAAUAUUGGACAAUGGGCGCAAGCCUGAUCCAGCAAUGCCGCGUGUGUGAAGAAGGCCUUCGGGUUGUAAAGCACUUUUAUCAGGAGCGAAACGCUGUCGGCUAAUACCCGGCGGAACUGACGGUACCUGAGGAAUAAGCACCGGCUAACUUCGUGCCAGCAGCCGCGGUAAUACGAAGGGUGCAAGCGUUAAUCGGAAUUACUGGGCGUAAAGCGUGCGUAGGCGGUUUCUUAAGUCUGCUGUGAAAUCCCCGGGCUCAACCUGGGAAUGGCAGUGGAUACUGGGAGGCUAGAGUGUGUCAGAGGGUGGUGGAAUUCCCGGUGUAGCGGUGAAAUGCGUAGAGAUCGGGAGGAACAUCAGUGGCGAAGGCGGCCACCUGGGACAACACUGACGCUGAGGCACGAAAGCGUGGGGAGCAAACAGGAUUAGAUACCCUGGUAGUCCACGCCCUAAAGCGAUGCGAACUGGAUGUUGGUCUCAACUCGGAGAUCAGUGUCGAAGCUAACGCGUUAAGUUCGCCGCCUGGGGAGUACGGUCGCAAGACUGAAACUCAAAGGAAUCGAC